GAUUAGUGGCGCACGGGUGAGUAACGCAUAGGUUAUGUGCCUCUUAGUUUGGGAUAGCCAUUGGAAACGAUGAUUAAUACCAGAUACUCCCUACGGGGGAAAGAUUUAUCGCUAAGAGAUCAGCCUAUGUCCUAUCAGCUUGUUGGUAAGGUAAUGGCUUACCAAGGCUAUGACGGGUAUCCGGCCUGAGAGGGUGAACGGACACACUGGAACUGAGACACGGUCCAGACUCCUACGGGAGGCAGCAGUAGGGAAUAUUGCUCAAUGGGGGAAACCCUGAAGCAGCAACGCCGCGUGGAGGAUGAAGGUUUUAGGAUUGUAAACUCCUUUUGUUAGAGAAGAUAAUGACGGUAUCUAACGAAUAAGCACCGGCUAACUCCGUGCCAGCAGCCGCGGUAAUACGGAGGGUGCAAGCGUUACUCGGAAUCACUGGGCGUAAAGAGCGCGUAGGCGGGAUAGUCAGUCAGGUGUGAAAUCCUAUGGCUUAACCAUAGAACUGCAUUUGAAACUACUAUUCUAGAGUGUGGGAGAGGUAGGCGGAAUUCUUGGUGUAGGGGUAAAAUCCGUAGAGAUCAAGAGGAAUACUCAUUGCGAAGGCGACCUGCUGGAACAUUACUGACGCUGAUUGCGCGAAAGCGUGGGGAGCAAACAGGAUUAGAUACCCUGGUAGUCCACGCCCUAAACGAUGGAUGCUAGUUGUUGGAGGGCUUAGUCUCUCCAGUAAUGCAGCUAACGCAUUAAGCAUCCCGCCUGGGGAGUACGGUCGCAAGAUUAAAACUCAAAGGAAUAGACGGGGACCCGCACAAGCGGUGGAGCAUGUGGUUUAAUUCGAAGAUACACGAAGAACCUUACCUAGGCUUGACAUUGAGAGAAUCCGCUAGAAAUAGUGGAGUGUCUGGCUUGCUAGACCUUGAAAACAGGUGCUGCACGGCUGUCGUCAGCUCGUGUCGUGAGAUGUUGGGUUAAGUCCCGCAACGAGCGCAACCCCCUUUCUUAGUUGCUAACAGGUCAUGCUGAGAACUCUAAGGAUACUGCCUCCGUAAGGAGGAGGAAGGUGGGGACGACGUCAAGUCAUCAUGGCCCUUACGCCUAGGGCUACACACGUGCUACAAUGGGGUGCACAAAGAGAAGCAAUACUGCGAAGUGGAGCCAAUCUUCAAAACACCUCUCAGUUCGGAUUGUAGGCUGCAACUCGCCUGCAUGAAGCUGGAAUCGCUAGUAAUCGCAAAUCAGCCAUGUUGCGGUGAAUACGUUCCCGGGUCUUGUACUCACCGCCCGUCACACCAUGGGAGUUGUGUUUGCCUUAAGUCGGGAUGCUAAAUUAGCUACUGCCCACGGCACACACAGCGACUGGGGUGAA
This 1360-nucleotide ribosomal RNA is filed under the name Helicobacter sp. LL-B2. RNAcentral's name for it is "16S ribosomal RNA". It matches the Rfam family "Bacterial small subunit ribosomal RNA". The record is from RNAcentral. Lineage: Bacteria; Pseudomonadati; Campylobacterota; Epsilonproteobacteria; Campylobacterales; Helicobacteraceae.